Molecule: long non-coding RNA, 1476 nt
Organism: Homo sapiens (human)
Lineage: Eukaryota; Metazoa; Chordata; Mammalia; Primates; Hominidae
Exons: 2
Source: RefSeq, a predicted model, not a curated record
CCCCGCCGUGCCUGCGGAGAGAGGCGGGUCCUGUCGGCGGGGCGGGGCCGAUAGCAGGCCGCCCCGCCCCCCACGGCCCCAGGCUCUUGGACGGCGAAGAGGUCUGGGCGUAGCGGUGACGAAUCCUAAGACGGGAUCUCCACUACUGCGGCCACACACUUUUCUCCCAAAUGCUUCCCGGAAAGCACCGGAGGGCCAGGCAGUCAGACUGGAACACUGCCUCCCAUUGUAUGGGUGAAAUACCUCGCGGACAUGUCUUACGGCGCCCCAUGAAAGCAUCACCAUUAAUCUGACCAGUCACCGCAGCAUUAGUAUCUUCAGGGCACAGAUGAAGCCGUGGGCACCAGUGAUAAGGAGUUGCCACUGCUGGCUAAGUGCGGAGCCUCACACAUCUGUGGCCCAGAAACCCACACCCCACUCCAAACCCUCUAUAGCUCCAACAGUUAUGCUAACAAGAAAAAGGAGUGAAAACCCGCUCCAGUUACGGUAUUGUGGAGGUGGAGGACACUUGUGGCAGCCAAUCCAACACCUCCAUUUUAUAGCUGGUGUAAACAUAGUUCAGAAAGGUUGUCCCACUUGCUGAAAGUCACACAGCAGUUCCUGGGCGGCAAAGUGAGGACAUCCAGGUCUCCUAAAUCUCACCCUCGUGCUCUGCCCACUUGACUGGGCUUUUCAAUCCUGGCUGUCAAAGAGAAGCACCAAGUCCACUUGGGCUCCUGGCCAGCAUCCAGGCCAGUCCAACUCAACAGCAAGCGGAAGCAAAUACCACACAAUGAACUCGUUGAACAGACUCUGCGCUCAGGCUUAACCAGUGCACAGCCUGCACACCCGACAGGCGGAUACAGCUGUUCCAAGCUAAGGCCAGGGCCUCUCCCCAAUCCCAAUGGGCUCUGCAGGUGCAGUGAUGGAAGAAUCCCUGGUGACAGGGAGCCCUUAGCUCUGAGCAGGACCUGAAGCCAUCUCAGGGCUUGCACCGGUCCAGAUGCUGCUGCACAAGUGCUACAGGGGCUCCUGCCCUGCCCUCCUCACCUGCCCCCUCACCUGUCAGGGAUGUUUGAUUCCUGGCUGGCCCCUCCCCUACCUGACCCCUGCCAAAGACCUACGCCACCCCAGGCUCCCAGCUCUGAAGCAAACGCCAGAGAAGUCAAGCGCCUGGCUGCGGGCCACACAGCUUGAGGGACUCAGAGCUCCAGGGACAGUGCCCGGGCCCUGCUCAGGCCUUCUGCAGAGGCUCUGGGCUCUUCCAGUUGACUCAGCUCACAGGGCCCCUACACGGUACCAGGUGAAGACACAGCCCCAAGAACUCCCAGGCUCUGAAGCCACACAUGUGAGCUGUGGGCAGAAUCCUGCAUUGGCCUCCAGCAGCUCGAGAGCACAGGGACAAAGCUGGACUGGCCCCAGGGUCACCGUGGCCUUGGUUUUGUAGCAGCUGCAGUUUGAGCACGUACACCAAAAAUAAAAUUCUAAGCCCCCUAA